Molecule: long non-coding RNA, 615 nt
Organism: Canis lupus familiaris (dog)
Lineage: Eukaryota; Metazoa; Chordata; Mammalia; Carnivora; Canidae
Exons: 2
Source: RefSeq, a predicted model, not a curated record
GACACAGGCAGAGGGAGAAGCAGGCUCCAAGCAGGGAGCUGACGUGGGACUCGAUCCCAGGCCUCCAGGAUCACACCCAGGGCUGAAGGUGGUGCUAAACUGCUGAGCCACCAGGGCUGCCCUUGACAUCAAUUCUUAAAUAGUUGCACCGUCAGGAGGAUACAAACAUAUGGGAAAUGGGUUCUAGAGGAAGUAAAGCAAAGUCUUUUAGCCCAUGGAAGAUCAAGGCCCAAUGGAGGAGGUCAGAAGAAAGCUCAGACUGCCACAGGGGACUGGGGAUGUUCUGAAAUGGAAAGGAGAGCAAGACGGAAGAGGAAUCCUGGAUGACAGACUAUAGUCUCUUGUUUCGCACUUAAAAAUGCCAGAUGAUAAAGCCAUGAAGGACAGCAGUCCUCACACCGUCAAGAUGAAACCUAUUCUCUUCAUCUUGAGCAGAAGGUCCCUGGUCAAAUCACCCUUGAAGAUUGUGGUGGUGCUAUCUACAUAAGUGAUGUUUAUUUUCCUAUGGACAAAGCACAAUUCGGCGGCAAUGUUGAAAGAGAAAAGUCCCCCAGCUGGCUCCUUCAGCAAAUGGCAUUGACAUAAAGACCAAAGUAAAUGUUAGCAACCUACAAA